CUACGGGCUGCACCAGUGAGGAAUAUUGGACAAUGGGCGAAAGCCUGAUCCAGCCAUGCCGCGUGCAGGAUGACAGCCCUACGGGUCGUAAACUGCUUUUAUACAGGAAUAAACCCCCUUACGUGUAAGGGGCUGAAUGUACUGUAAGAAUAAGGAUCGGCUAACUCCGUGCCAGCAGCCGCGGUAAUACGGAGGAUCCAAGCGUUAUCCGGAUUCAUUGGGUUUAAAGGGUCCGCAGGCGGAUUAUUAAGUCAGUGGUGAAAUGCUGUCGCUUAACGAUAGCACUGCCAUUGAUACUGGUAAUCUUGAGUAUAGUUGAGGUGGGCGGAAUAAGUCAUGUAGCGGUGAAAUGCAUAGAUAUGACUUAGAACACCGAUUGCGAAGGCAGCUCACUAAGCUAUUACUGACGCUCAGGGACGAAAGCGUGGGGAGCGAACAGGAUUAGAUACCCCCGUAGUC
Molecule: ribosomal RNA, 459 nt
Filed under: uncultured bacterium
Lineage: Bacteria
Description: partial 16S ribosomal RNA
Rfam family: Bacterial small subunit ribosomal RNA
Source: RNAcentral